This 253-nucleotide ribosomal RNA is filed under the name uncultured bacterium. Its description in RNAcentral is "partial 16S ribosomal RNA". It matches the Rfam family "Bacterial small subunit ribosomal RNA", at positions 524 to 776 of the family's 1533-position model. The record is from RNAcentral.
UACGAAGGGUGCAAGCGUUACUCGGAAUUACUGGGCGUAAAGCGUGCGUAGGUGGUCUGUUAAGUCUGAUGUGAAAGCCCUGGGCUCAACCUGGGAAUUGCAUUGGAUACUGGCAGGCUAGAGCGCGGUAGAGGGUAGUGGAAUUCCCGGUGUAGCAGUGAAAUGCGUAGAGAUCGGGAGGAACACCAGUGGCGAAGGCGACUACCUGGACCAGCACUGACGCUGAGGCACGAAAGCGUGGGGAGCAAACAGG